This 497-nucleotide ribosomal RNA is filed under the name uncultured bacterium. Its description in RNAcentral is "partial 16S ribosomal RNA". It matches the Rfam family "Bacterial small subunit ribosomal RNA", at positions 28 to 507 of the family's 1533-position model. The record is from RNAcentral.
GAUGAACGCUGGCGGCGUGCCUAAUACAUGCAAGUCGAGCGAACGGACGAGAAGCUUGCUUUUCUGAUGUUAGCGGCGGACGGGUGAGUAACACGUGGAUAACCUACCUAUAAGACUGGGAUAACUUCGGGAAACCGGAGCUAAUACCGGAUAAUAUUUUGAACCGCAUGGUUCAAAAGUGAAAGACGGUCUUGCUGUCACUUAUAGAUGGAUCCGCGCUGCAUUAGCUAGUUGGUAAGGUAACGGCUUACCAAGGCAACGAUGCAUAGCCGACCUGAGAGGAUGACCGGCCACACUGGAACUGAGACACGGUCCAGACUCCUACGGGAGGCAGCAGUAGGGAAUCUUGGGCAAUGGGCGAAAGCCUGACGGAGCAACGCCGCGUGAGUGAUGAAGGUCUUCGGGUCGUAAAACUCUGUUAUUAGGGAAGAACAGAUGUGGAAGUAACUGUGCACAUUUUGACGGUACCUAAUCAGAAAGCCACGGCUAACUACGUG